Molecule: long non-coding RNA, 385 nt
Filed under: Lathyrus oleraceus (garden pea)
Lineage: Eukaryota; Viridiplantae; Streptophyta; Magnoliopsida; Fabales; Fabaceae
Description: Pisum sativum (pea) long non-coding RNA (PSAT_LNC002460)
Source: RNAcentral
AAAUUUCACUUUGAGUACUCCCCGUUGUGUCUGAUCCUCCAGCAGGACUGUUUCCCCAGCAAGUUGUUUUUUACCAUUUGUCUGUCUUCUUGUAGACCAUCAGCAUUCCCCACAGUUUGGUCUGUCUAAGUAGCAUCUCCUGUUAAGGGUCCACUAUAUCCCUAGCAGAUAAAAAAAAUUACAAAAAAAGAAUCAUGCAUCCAUGCAUAUCAUAUCACAUCAUAUCAUAUCGCAUCAUAGGGAUUCAGGAUCAAAAUCCGGGUCUUCUUAGUAUUUAACCAUCUUCCACUAUGAUCAUAUGAAGAGUGUCCCGCUUCAUAUUCUCUAGUUGAAGAUACUUAAAUAGGGGCAACUGUCAUACCCCGAUUUUGGCCCUGAAAUUUUC